GAGAUUAUAAGGCAGAUUUAAGCGAGACAUAAUUGACCGGUGGGGCGAAAACGAAUAAGAUACACAUGUCAAAUUAGUUUGAGUUGAUAGGCACCAUAAGCAAAACCAGUAUCCGCAUACAUGUGAGUGUUCACUUUGUGCAAGGUGUGGGCUAACAUGCAGAUCGGAACCCUCAACUUUCUGAAUUACAUUCAGAGAGUGAACAUACAUGUAGACUGGAGUCUUUACCUGAUACGGAUCUAACUCGAGUCCCGGCAUUAGAAGAAAAUUACUAUGCCUAUGAAAUAUCUAAUUCUACCAUUUCUUCCGGAUCAUCAGCUCCUAAAUGGCCAAGUGCAUCAGCUUGAUAUUUCCUUGUUCACAAAUUACUUCAUAAAAAAUGCACAUACAUAAGAAUUUGAUCUUUGAAUUGUCUCUGUAAGGUAUCACUGCUUCUUAAUGAAGAUAGCCAGCAAGAUAAUGGGGGGAAUAAACAGAUCAUUUCAAAAGGAGAAGCAACCUACCAAGGGCUAACAAUGCAACACUCUGAAUGAGCAAAUUCAUGUUAAAACUUAAAUCCUACUACAUUACAAUCUACCUGGACCAAGAAUACAAAUUAGUCUAGCUAAAGUCUUUUUAAACCUUAUUAAUGUUUCCCCUGAUUGAGCGUACUCCUUGUGAAAAAAACUGCAUAAGAAAUUAUUCACUGGAAAUAUUAGUUUUAGUACUGUAUAUUAUGUACAGAUGGACAUCUACACACAAACAGGACAUGAGUAAAUCCUAACUACACCACCAGUGGUGCAUAUUAAUAAACUGGAUAUCAAGAAAGCUAAAAGGAUUAUCAAGAACACCGUAUAACAAUCAGAGGAAUUCCAAAUUAAGCUAUUACUUAUUUAAGAAGGGACUAAGCUGGAAAGAGGAAAGAAAAUACAGCAAUGAAAAUUCAAGCUUAUCUUCAACACUGAUGAAAAAAAAAUACAACUAGACUAUCUUGCAUACUGUCAAGCUAACAGUAUAUGAGUUCGCACAAUCCUCACCUCUAACAUUGAAGGAAGGUGAAGCAUGAUGUAUGAGGGCUCAUCAAAGUAGGAUUCAUCCUCUUCAUGUCUACUCAGCAGUGACCUUGGCUUGGAAUACUUCCUCAUUGAUAAAAUUGUUGAUGCCCAUAAGCUCUAAUGUGGUUUCCAAAAAGAAAUACCCGCUCCAGACACUACUGUCAGCAAUGAACCAUGCGUUUAGUCGAUGCGAGAGUAAAUCCCUAAAAUGUCGAGCAUUGUUGGUCCAAAGGUUAUAUCACCGAUAAUCAGGCACACUUGAAGAGAAGCCCACUUAAUAUUUAGAGGGAUAAUAUGAACAGAAAUCAAACAAAGCAUUGUAUUUGUUCCCUGAUCAUGAUGCUUCAUAAAGCAUUGGGAACCCAACCAAACAUGUGCCUGCUCUUGAAACCAAGAAUGCACAAAAGAUAUUCGGAAUUAAGCACCUUUUUUUCUAUAACAUGGCAUAUAGUGCUAAAGAACGUUGAUUUGCAUUUGGUUAAGUAUGAAAUACAACACAAUUUUCGCAUCGGUUCAAGAAUGUAUAUACUUCUAAAAUACAUGAAUAAAAGCAAUUUCCUUCUAUAACAAGGGUCCUUUGGUUUGAAGUAGAGAAGCAUAUGAAUUUUAUGCUAGUGCCUGUGAGGAUAGGCGAUGGGCUUGCAGGCGCAAGGCAAGGAUCCAAAUACCUUGGAGUAUUGUGCUGAUAGCUGGGUCGCCGAGAUAGAUGCCCUGCUCUGGCCACAUACUACUAUCCCUGCCAGGAUCUGGGCGACCACAGGCCACAGUAAGCUAGAUAGCAAGAGAGGUGGCAGGCUGACUGGACGAAAAUACACAUUUACAUUGCAGUUGAUAAUCACUGAAAGCCGCAAUGCUGAUAUAGUUUUUUCGGUUUUUGUGAUUUGUGUGAGUGCACUAUUUGCUAAUCUUUCUUUCUGUUUAUCAGUUCACCACAAUGUUGAUAUAGUUUUUUUUUGUUCUAAUUUACACAAAAUUUAGCUGCUUGAAUAGGUGAAGAAUUCUUGUAAAAAAAGGCAACAUACUUGCAUUCCAAAUUAAGAAAAACCAAGAAAUGAACAGUUGCUCAAGCUAAGCUCCGAAUCGGAACUCCAUGGAGUUUUCUUCAAGCAGAAGUGGCUAUUCUUAUGCGGUUUUUAGCCCUUCCUAUGAAUCCCUAAUAAAUGUUUGAAAACCAUUCAAUGGAAACAACCAGAAGGUACAAACACUGACCGUACCAAAGAAAAACUGGGAUCAGGUGCACCUCGGCAAGAAGUUUUUUAUUCUCUGUUUUAUACAUAGAAAUCAAAGACAAAAGUACUAUUCUUGGAACAAAACUAAUGAAAAACCUGGCUGCGAAAUCAAAUAUUUACAUCCCAUUAAUUAUGCUAUCUAAUCUAAGAAGGAUAAUCUAAUCUAAAUAUAUGUUUGUAAUUAAUUACAUAGUUAUAAAAAAACAUGACACCAACAGAACAGACCCAUAUGAUUCUUAAAGAAUAACCCAGAAGACACCAACGCAUGCCAGACAAAGGGAUGAACACAUAAGAAUAAUAGAUAAAUAAACACAUGACAAGCAAGAGUAAAUAGAGCAAGAUAUGGGUUAACUUGGGAACCAAGCAGCAAGAGCAGCGUCCAGCAGGCUCCAGAGAUGCUCGGAGACCCAAAGUCAUCAACAAACUGGAAGAAGAAAUCAAAUAGAAGGUUGAAAAAAAUAGUGUAUAUAUAGCAGAUGUUGAUCUAGUAGUAGUUGCUAUGUUGAUAUUCUUCUGUUUACUCUCGCUUAGCUGAAUACUGGUCCAGGGACUACUUAACAAAAAUCUUGUAAGGGGAUAUACUACUUACAUGCCACCCAUCCAUUACACAUAAGCCUAAUUGAAAAGCCAAAUAUAACCUAGACCAACUAAACGCGCAGAAGCAACACAUUUCAGAAAUAUUGCAUCGAUUCUCAUUUUUCACCAUAGAUAAUAGAUCUCAAACUUCAUCAUGCUUUGGGGCCUCUGAUGACCCACUCAAUAUGUCUACAUUUAGUUAUAUACUCCAUAAAUCAUUUAGCUAACUCAAAUUAUUCUGUAAUAGAAAAGAAAAUGAAAAAAAGAACUGAACUUGAACCUACCAGGCCGAUAACUUUCUUGUCUGACAUUUUAAAAUCCCCCAUCUAUGUUGCGAAUCAUAGCCGAAACAAUUCUGGCUUGUUUAAAUCACCCUGCGUAUAUAAGAAACAACCAUGAUAUUCUUUUUCAAAUACAAAACCAUUAGCAGAUGACACAAAUAAAUAAUAGUGGGGAUUAUUAUAGCACCUUCCGUGUUGUAUAUGUUGUAACAAACUAACAAUCCCACUCCUAGCUGUGGACAGCUGCGCCCAUGGCCAACGUCACCUCAAUAUCACUGGUCCGAUGUUGCCCCCUGUCCAGCGAACAUAGGUUCACAAUUUUAUUAAAGUUACUAACAGCAAAAUACUGACAUAUAAAUGAUGCUAACUUAUGGAAGUCAUAGCCCAGCUGACAGGCAAUGAAUCCAAAGAACAACAUCUAAUGGUUUCUUGAGCAACAAAGAGUAAGAAACAAAUUAAUCCAUAUAACGGACCAGCAGCAGCGGACCAUAGAAGCAACUUUUAUGGAUCAAAGAGAAAUACGGAUAAAAUAAGAAACAUGGUAAAAUGCUAAACCGGCAAACAAGAAUUGUGUGCACCUUCUAUCUAAAUUCUUUGAGGGUUCUGACUUUAAGGGACCACCUAGAAGCAUGGUAGUCCCGAUUAAUGUAAUUUAAACCAUGAUGCUGGGUAAUCACAGAGGAUUUAUAUAGGUGUAUUUAUAGCAACAGUAGGGCAAGAUAUUGUGGAAUGGAACUCUCUAAAUUGCUAUUUGACAUGAAACCAAGCAUUGACAUAAAACAUAUAAGGCAUGCUCUCCUAUAACUGAAGCGCAUCCAUCUAGCAAACUAAAACACCCACCAACCAAAUUAGUUUCAGGUCUGCCUCGAGCCUCUCAUCCUUCCCGGCACCAACAGCGUCACAGAGGCAGUAAGUGCUGUCCUCGAGCGUUGUGCACAUGCCCUGCACCAGGUAUGGCGUCAUCCGGUGGGGCGGGUCGCCGACAU
This 4106-nucleotide long non-coding RNA is filed under the name Triticum aestivum (bread wheat). Its description in RNAcentral is "long non-coding RNA (TAES_LNC021846)". The record is from RNAcentral. Lineage: Eukaryota; Viridiplantae; Streptophyta; Magnoliopsida; Poales; Poaceae.